CAUGCAAGUCGAGCGGUAGCACAGAGAGCUUGCUCUCGGGUGACGAGCGGCGGACGGGUGAGUAAUGUCUGGGAAACUGCCUGAUGGAGGGGGAUAACUACUGGAAACGGUAGCUAAUACCGCAUAACGUCGCAAGACCAAAGUGGGGGACCUUCGGGCCUCAUGCCAUCAGAUGUGCCCAGAUGGGAUUAGCUGGUAGGUGGGGUAACGGCUCACCUAGGCGACGAUCCCUAGCUGGUCUGAGAGGAUGACCAGCCACACUGGAACUGAGACACGGUCCAGACUCCUACGGGAGGCAGCAGUGGGGAAUAUUGCACAAUGGGCGCAAGCCUGAUGCAGCCAUGCCGCGUGUGUGAAGAAGGCCUUCGGGUUGUAAAGCACUUUCAGCGGGGAGGAAGGCGGUGAGGUUAAUAACCUCAUCGAUUGACGUUACCCGCAGAAGAAGCACCGGCUAACUCCGUGCCAGCAGCCGCGGUAAUACGGAGGGUGCAAGCGUUAAUCGGAAUUACUGGGCGUAAAGCGCACGCAGGCGGUCUGUCAAGUCGGAUGUGAAAUCCCCGGGCUCAACCUGGGAACUGCAUUCGAAACUGGCAGGCUAGAGUCUUGUAGAGGGGGGUAGAAUUCCAGGUGUAGCGGUGAAAUGCGUAGAGAUCUGGAGGAAUACCGGUGGCGAAGGCGGCCCCCUGGACAAAGACUGACGCUCAGGUGCGAAAGCGUGGGGAGCAAACAGGAUUAGAUACCCUGGUAGUCCACGCUGUAAACGAUGUCGAUUUGGAGGUUGUGCCCUUGAGGCGUGGCUUCCGGAGCUAACGCGUUAAAUCGACCGCCUGGGGAGUACGGCCGCAAGGUUAAAACUCAAAUGAAUUGACGGGGGCCCGCACAAGCGGUGGAGCAUGUGGUUUAAUUCGAUGCAACGCGAAGAACCUUACCUGGUCUUGACAUCCACAGAACUUUCCAGAGAUGGAUUGGUGCCUUCGGGAACUGUGAGACAGGUGCUGCAUGGCUGUCGUCAGCUCGUGUUGUGAAAUGUUGGGUUAAGUCCCGCAACGAGCGCAACCCUUAUCCUUUGUUGCCAGCGGUUAGGCCGGGAACUCAAAGGAGACUGCCAGUGAUAAACUGGAGGAAGGUGGGGAUGACGUCAAGUCAUCAUGGCCCUUACGACCAGGGCUACACACGUGCUACAAUGGCAUAUACAAAGAGAAGCGACCUCGCGAGAGCAAGCGGACCUCAUAAAGUAUGUCGUAGUCCGGAUUGGAGUCUGCAACUCGACUCCAUGAAGUCGGAAUCGCUAGUAAUCGUAGAUCAGAAUGCUACGGUGAAUACGUUCCCGGGCCUUGUACACACCGCCCG
This 1350-nucleotide ribosomal RNA is filed under the name Klebsiella variicola. RNAcentral describes it as "bacterial SSU rRNA". It matches the Rfam family "Bacterial small subunit ribosomal RNA", at positions 54 to 1396 of the family's 1533-position model. The record is from RNAcentral. Lineage: Bacteria; Pseudomonadati; Pseudomonadota; Gammaproteobacteria; Enterobacterales; Enterobacteriaceae.